Molecule: ribosomal RNA, 504 nt
Filed under: uncultured bacterium
Lineage: Bacteria
Description: partial 16S ribosomal RNA
Rfam family: Bacterial small subunit ribosomal RNA
Source: RNAcentral
AUUGAACGCUGGCGGCAGGCCUAACACAUGCAAGUCGAACGGUAGCACAGAGAGCUUGCUCUCGGGUGACGAGUGGCGGACGGGUGAGUAACGUCUGGGAAACUGCCCGAUGGAGGGGGAUAACUACUGGAAACGGUAGCUAAUACCGCAUAACGUCGCAAGACCAAAGUGGGGGACCUUCGGGCCUCACACCAUCGGAUGUGCCCAGACGGGAUUAGCUAGUAGGUGGGGUAAUGGCUCACCUAGGCGAAGAUCCCUAGCUGGUCUGAGAGGAUGACCAGCCACACUGGAACUGAGACACGGUCCAGACUCCGACGGGAGGCAGCAGUGGGGAAUAUUGCACAAUGGGCGCAAGCCUGAUGCAGCCAUGCCGCGUGUAUGAAGAAGGCCUUCGGGUUGUAAAGUACUUUCAGCGGGGAGGAAGGCGGUGAAGUUAAUAGCUUCACCGAUUGACGUUACCCGCAGAAGAAGCACCGGCUAACUCCGUGCCAGCCGCCGCGGUAA